Molecule: ribosomal RNA, 1362 nt
Filed under: uncultured bacterium
Lineage: Bacteria
Description: bacterial SSU rRNA
Rfam family: Bacterial small subunit ribosomal RNA
Source: RNAcentral
GAUGAACGCUGGCGGCGUGCCUAAUACAUGCAAGUCGAACGGUAACAGGCUUUCACAAUAUUCUUCUCUCAUCUGAUACGUCAGAUGUUUUUAGAGGAGAAUGAUUGUGAAAGUGCUGACGAGUGGCGGACGGCUGAGUAACGCGUGGGAACGUGCCCCAAAGUGAGGGAUAAGCUCUGGAAACAGAGUCUAAUACCGCAUAUGGUCUUCGGAUUAAAGUAUUUAUACGCUUUGGGAGCGGCCCGCGUUUGAUUAGAUAGUUGGUGAGGUAAAGGCUCACCAAGUCGACGAUCAAUAGCUGGUCUGAGAGGAUGAUCAGCCAGACUGGAACUGAGACACGGUCCAGACUCCUACGGGAGGCAGCAGUAAGGAAUCUUCCACAAUGGGGGCAACCCUGGUGGAGCAACGCCGCGUGAAGGAUGAAGGCCUUAGGGUCGUAAACUUCUUUUAUUGGUGAAGAAUAUGACGGUAACCAAUGAAUAAGGGUCGGCUAACUACGUGCCAGCAGCCGCGGUCAUACGUAGGACCCAAGCGUUAUCCGGAGUGACUGGGCGUAAAGAGUUGCGUAGGCGGCUUAUAAGUGGAUAGUGAAACCUGGUGGCUCAACCAUACAGACUAUUAUCCAAACUGUUAAGCUCGAGAAUGGUAGAGGUGGCUGGAAUUUCUAGUGUAGGAGUGAAAUCCGUAGAUAUUAGAAGGAACACCAAUGGCGUAGGCAGGCCACUGGACCAUUUCUGACGCUAAGGCACGAAAGCGUGGGGAGCGAACCGGAUUAGAUACCCGGGUAGUCCACGCCGUAAACGAUGGAUGCUAGCUGUGGGGGGUAUCGACCCCCUCCGUAGCGAAGCUAACGCGUUAAGCAUCCCGCCUGUGGAGUACGGCCGCAAGGCUAAAACAUAAAGGAAUUGACGGGGACCCGCACAAGCGGUGGAGCGUGUUCUUUAAUUCGAUGAUAAACGAAGAACCUUACCAGGGCUUGACAUCCCGAGAAUUUUGUCGAAAGACGAGAGUGCUUUAUUGAACUCGGUGACAGAUCUUGCAUGGCCGUCGUCAGCUCGUGUCGUGAGAUGUUUGGUUAAGUCCAUCAACGAGCGCAACCCUUGUGAUUAGUUGAAUUUUUCUAAUCAUACUGCCCCGGUAACGGGGAGGAAGGAGGGGAUGAUGUCAGGUCAGUAUUAGUCUUACGUCCUGGGCUAGAAACGCGCUACAAUGGCCAGUACAACGGGCAGCCAACCCGCAAGGGGGAGCAAAUCCCAUCAAAACUGGUCCCAGUUCGGAUAAGAGGCUGAAACUCGCCUCUUUGAAGUCGGAAUCGCUAGUAAUCGCAGAUCAGCAUGUUGCGGUGAAUACGUUCCCGGGUCU